Molecule: long non-coding RNA, 743 nt
Filed under: Mus musculus (house mouse)
Lineage: Eukaryota; Metazoa; Chordata; Mammalia; Rodentia; Muridae
Description: long non-coding RNA chr4:59090186-59090929
Source: RNAcentral
AGGAUGCCCAAAGGAAAGAAGACUGAAGAGAAGCCAAAAGGUGAACCCAGUUUGAGAAAAGGCCUAAGAACUUGGGCAUUUGACAGGUCUUCCAGCUCCAAAGAGGUCUCACCCAUUUCAUAAAAUGGCCCUGGUAACAUCAGGCUUCAAGAGUAAAGCAGCAUCCUCUAUAAGCUGCUCAAAGCACCUCCUGGCAUUAACCAGUUCAACCAGGCCCUGGACCAGCAAACAGCUACCCAGCUGCUUAAGCUGGCCCACAUGUACAGAGACAAAGCAAGAGAAACAAAGGCUGCUGCUGGUCUGUGUUGAGAAGAAAGCUGCUAACAGAGAGGAUGUUCUAACUAAGAGACUGCCUGUCCUCUGAGUAGCGGUCAAUACCUUGGUGGAGAACAAGAAGGCUCAGCUGGUGGUGAUUGCCCGUAAUGUAGACACCAUUCAGUUAGUGGUUUUCCUGUCUGUCUUGUGUUGAAGGAUGGGGGUACCUUACUGCAUUAUCAAGGGAAAGGCCAGGCAGGGGUGCCUGAUCCACAGGAAGACAGGCACCACUGUUGCCUUCACACAGGUUAACUCGGAAGACAAGGGCUCUGGCUAAGCUGGUAAAAGCUAUUAGGACCAAUUAUAAUGACAGAUAUGAUGAGAUCCACUGCCACUGGGGAGGCAAUGUCCUGGGUCCUAAAUCUGUGGCUUGCAUUGCCAAGCUGGAAAAGGCAAAGGCUAAAGAACUUGCCACUAAACUGGGUUAA